UCAAUUGCGGCCAUAGCAGCAGGGUCACACCCGGACUCAUUCCGAACCCGGAAGUUAAGCCUGUUCACGUCGGAUGCGGUACUCAGAUACGCGAGUUCUCGGGAAACAUCCAACGCUGCAAUUGU
Molecule: ribosomal RNA, 125 nt
Filed under: Methanomicrobium mobile
Lineage: Archaea; Methanobacteriati; Methanobacteriota; Methanomicrobia; Methanomicrobiales; Methanomicrobiaceae
Source: RNAcentral